CACCUCCUAACACUAGCUAGGCUAGCCACCGCCACAACUUGUUCCUCUAUAACAAGUUUAGGACUCUGAUUUCUGCAAAUUCCUUAACCCAAUUCGUGGAAUUUGUUUAGAAUCGUUUCCAUGAGAUUUAUUAUCACCUCAGCUUUCUUCUUUCUGGUUCUUUUUUCUUGUGCAGCUGCAUAUGAUCCCUUGGAUCCAACUGGUAAUGUCACCAUCAGAUGGGAUAUCAUGGCUUGGACUGCAGAUGGCUACACGGCUACGGUGACAUUGUACAAUUUCCAAACGUUCCGGCACAUCAUGGACCCUGGCUGGACUAUAGGCUGGGCAUGGGCGAAGAAAGAAAUAAUAUGGUCCAUGACUGGUGCUCAAGCCACGGAGCAAGGCGACUGCUCCAAGUUCAAAGCGAACAUUCCUCACUGCUGCAAGAGAACUCCUGCAGUUGUGGACUUGAUGCCCAAUGCUCCGUACAACCAACAAUUCGCGAAUUGCUGCAAAGGUGGAGAAGUGUCAGCAUGGGGCCAAGAUCCUGCAGCUUCUAUCUCCCAGUUCCAAAUUACUGUUGGCUUAGCUGGCACUUCAAAUAAGACCGUUAAACUUCCCAAAAAUUUCACCUUGCUCGGCCCAGGACCUGGAUACACUUGUGGCCCUGCAAAGCUUGUGCCUUCCACCAAGUUUCUCACUCCGGAUGGACGCCGAAAAACUCAGGCCCUGUUGACAUGGAAUGUAACCUGCACAUAUUCACAAUUCCUGGCUAGGAAAAACCCAAAUUGUUGCGUCUCUUUCUCAUCCUUCUAUAAUCAGGAAAUCACUCCCUGCCCCACCUGUGCUUGUGGUUGCCAAAACAAUAACACUUGUAUCAAUCGUGAUUCCAAAAUUCUUAAAGUGGUGGAAGCAAACAAUUCAAAGAGAGAAAACACCUCACUCCUGCAAUGCACACACCAUAUGUGCCCAAUUCGAGUUCACUGGCAUGUGAAGGUCAAUUAUAAGGAGUACUGGCGUGUGAAGAUUGCGAUAGUAAAUUUCAACUACAGGAUGAACUACUCAGUCUGGUCACUCGUUAUCCAGCAUCCGAAUCUCAACAAUGUAACGCAAGUUUUUAGCUUCAAUUACCAGCCUCUCAUUCCCUAUGAGUCGAUAAAUGACACAGGGAUGUUCUACGGCAUGAAAUAUUACAAUGAUGUGUUAAUGCAAGCAGGACCUUUAGGAAAUGUUCAGUCAGAAGUGCUUCUUCAGAAGGACUUGAAUACCUUCACUUUCAAGCAAGGAUGGGCAUUUCCACGGAAAGUCUACUUCAAUGGCGAUGAGUGCAUGUUGCCCCCUCCGGAUACAUACCCUUUUCUGCCAAACUCUGUCCAUGGAUCCCUGAUUUCAUUCUUGACAUUAACUUCUGCAUGGUUUUCCUUGUUAAUCUUUCUUUCGUAAUUUUAGUUAUUUUGAAGAUGGUAGUGCUGGAAGUUUGUUUGAAGCAGGGGGUUCCAUUGAUGAAAAAAAAAAGUCACUUGGACUCAAAAUUUAUUGAAAGAAAUUGAGUUGUUUUUGUAAUUAUGAAUAUAAAAAAAGAACUGCCAUACCAAU
RNAcentral lists this unclassified non-coding RNA (1575 nucleotides) under Hevea brasiliensis (rubber tree). Lineage: Eukaryota; Viridiplantae; Streptophyta; Magnoliopsida; Malpighiales; Euphorbiaceae. The record is from RNAcentral.